CGGGAUGUGGCGCAGCUUGGUAGCGCAUCCGCUUUGGGAGCGGAGGGUCGCAGGUUCAAAUCCUGUCAUCCCGACGA
This 77-nucleotide transfer RNA is filed under the name Gordonia sihwensis. RNAcentral's name for it is "tRNA-Pro". It matches the Rfam family "tRNA". From Rfam's summary of the family: Transfer RNA (tRNA) molecules are approximately 80 nucleotides in length. Their secondary structure includes four short double-helical elements and three loops (D, anti-codon, and T loops). Lineage: Bacteria; Bacillati; Actinomycetota; Actinomycetes; Mycobacteriales; Gordoniaceae. RNAcentral also lists the same sequence under 7 other names. The record is from RNAcentral.